Long non-coding RNA from Spodoptera frugiperda (fall armyworm), 910 nucleotides. RefSeq lists it as uncharacterized. NCBI's taxonomy places the organism in Eukaryota, Metazoa, Arthropoda, Insecta, Lepidoptera, Noctuidae. The transcript is spliced from 3 exons. The record is from RefSeq and is a predicted model, not a curated record.
CACAGUCAUUGGCAUAAAACGUAAUAUAUAACUUUAUACGAUUACUAAGAAUUACGAAAAUCGAUGAACUCAAUAACGCUUUGUUCGUACCCGACACUUUCCGUGUCGUAAAUAAUAUUUAACUAACAAAAAAAAGACAUGACUUCCAAAAUCGUAGUUGCGUUAAUAAAUUAUCCGGGGGACAUUGUUCAAAGUAAAUCGCGGCCCGUCAAAACCUCACACCGCGCUGAGCCCGUCACUGCCGUCAACAAUGGCUACGUGUCCCCGUCACUGUCCCAUUGUCGUCCACAAUCGUGACAGACAAACAGAAUGUACCGUCCGAGCUUCCUGCGCUUUCAAAACGGCGGAAUUGUGUAAACACCACUAUAUUUGAGUGGUAGAAGUGUGUGCGGGUAAUGGAUUGGCCGAUUGUCGGCCGUCGCUCGAGUGGCGGUGGGUGGUCAUUUCACGUCGGCAGCUUUACAUCAUCGUUUGAAAAGAACACAAAGGGCGAAUAUUAAAUGAACGCUCGUAAUAAUAACAAGACAAUUUUGAAGGCAACCAUUGAACAGUGUUCAAGACACUACGACAGUACGACAAGUCGCACUUACCCGCGACUGUAACAAAGCAAGUCGCAGUCGCGUGUCGCUGCGACAACUGUUGACAGCGCGCGCCAUUACUUCCGUCGCCGCCUUCCGCCUGUCAAGCAAUGAUCGAUAGUGAGGGGAGCCUGUCGAUAUCGAAGAAACAUACAUUAUAUUAUUACAAAAUAGUCUUUGAUGCCAAUAUGCGUCGGUAUUAUUGUAACACAAAGGAAGUGCUCUUUUUUGUAUUUGUACGAUUCUGUGGGUGCUGAGUUAGUGGAUUGUGGUUGUGGGUGGUCGAAAAUAUAGAGUUACAAUGCGUAGGUAAUACUUUCUGUAAUAAUUUG